GCUCCGGUGACCUACUGGUUAGAGCGUCCGCCUACAGAUGCGGGAGGUCAUGGGUUCGAUCCCCGGUCGAGUCA
Non-coding RNA from Potamilus streckersoni, 74 nucleotides. Lineage: Eukaryota; Metazoa; Mollusca; Bivalvia; Unionida; Unionidae. The record is from the annotation of a GenBank genome assembly.